RNAcentral lists this ribosomal RNA (642 nucleotides) under uncultured bacterium. RNAcentral's name for it is "bacterial SSU rRNA". It matches the Rfam family "Bacterial small subunit ribosomal RNA", at positions 796 to 1436 of the family's 1533-position model. The record is from RNAcentral.
CAUGCUGUAANCGGUGGGCGCUAGGUGUGGGCUGUGUGUUUGCAGUCUGUGCCGUAGCUAACGCAUUAAGCGCCCCGCCUGGGGAGUACGGCCGCAAGGCUAAAACUCAAAGGAAUUGACGGGGGCCCGCACAAGCGGCGGAGCAUGUGGAUUAAUUCGAUGCAACGCGAAGAACCUUACCUGGGUUUGACAUGCACCAGAUCGGCGUAGAGAUACGUCCUCCCUUGUGGUUGGUGCACAGGUGGUGCAUGGUUGUCGUCAGCUCGUGUCGUGAGAUGUUGGGUUAAGUCCCGCAACGAGCGCAACCCUUGUCUUAUGUUGCCAGCACAUUUUUGGUGGGGACUCAUGAGAAACUGCCGGGGUCAACUCGGAGGAAGGUGGGGAUGACGUCAAAUCAUCAUGCCCUUUAUACCCAGGGCUUCACACAUGCUACAAUGGUCGGUACAACGGGUUGCGACACUGUGAAGUGAAGCUAAUCUCUUAAAGCCGGCCUCAGUUCGGAUUGGGGUCUGCAACUCGACCCCAUGAAGUCGGAGUCGCUAGUAAUCGCAGAUCAGCAACGCUGCGGUGAAUACGUUCCCGGGCCUUGUACACACCGCCCGACACGUCAUGAAAGUUGGUAACACCCGAAGCCCAUGGCCU